UGAAGAAACUAAGGAUGGCAGCAAGUUUAAGGCAUAUAUCACUUGACUCUAGACACUGGUUCCUUUGUGUCUUGAUCCAAGAAAGUGAAAUGGGGAAAAAAAUGGUGCUAAAAUUUGAGUGAAAGAAUGGGAAAGCCUUUUAGAGCCUAAAUUUUACAUGGCAAGUGGUUAUCCUGACAGUAGAAAGCUCCCUUGUACCAAGCCAGAGCCCUCUAAGGUACCAGAUUCUUACAACAAGGAUGGCAGGUUCUUCCAGACUGCCAGGGACCUGGUAGAUUUUGAGAAGAGGUGUUUUUUGUUUGUUGCCAACCUCCUGUUUACCAGAAGUAACAUACCAUUUUCCAUAAGCUGUAAAACAAAAUCCAGGAGAUCACUAAUCUAGAAGAGGGAAAAGGUUUCCAGG
RNAcentral lists this long non-coding RNA (403 nucleotides) under Marmota monax (woodchuck). Lineage: Eukaryota; Metazoa; Chordata; Mammalia; Rodentia; Sciuridae. The record is from RNAcentral.